CAGCGACAUCUAUCAGUUUCUGAAGGGUAGAGAACCCAGGACCUUCACGUUGAACAAAGGAGAGAGACCCCCUUUUCCUCCAGUUUGUUUACCAAUGAACGAACGCGUGUCUACAGCAGAGUGGGGGGGAAAUAAAGGAAGCGAACGCGUAAAUAGAAGCAAAGUCAAAUUCAAAUUAAAAGUGCUGGCUGCCUAAAGCCAUCAGACCUUGACGACUAUGUUUUCUACAACAACUGUUUUACAAUUCCACUCGACUGUUGCUUCGGAAGGACUUGCAGCCUGCUGGCCCCCACCUUCAAAACCAGCCCCCUCCACAUCUUCAAGGAUUCACAUACCGCCAAGGAAUUUUCAGCGGAUGAGAUGUUGUACCCAUAUCUCUGAAGACAAGAUAGAGGGCGUUUUAAAUGUGUGAAGAUGAUGAAGAUAAAAUAAAAUGUUGUGUGUGUGUGUGUGUGUAUACAAACCACACACACACACACACACACAGAGAG
Zootoca vivipara (common lizard) is the source of this 491-nucleotide long non-coding RNA. RefSeq lists it as uncharacterized. Lineage: Eukaryota; Metazoa; Chordata; Lepidosauria; Squamata; Lacertidae. The record is from RefSeq and is a predicted model, not a curated record.